CCUACGGGGGGCAGCAGUCGAGAAUCAUUCACAAUGGGGGAAACCCUGAUGGAGCGACGCCGCGUGGGGGAAUGAAGGUCUUCGGAUCGUAAACCUCUGUUAUGUGGGAGCAAAUUAAAAAGAUAGUACCACAAGAGGAAGAGACGGCUAACUCUGUGCCAGUAGCCGCGGUAAUACAGAGGGCUCAAGAGUUGUUCGGCAUCACUGGGCGUAAAGUGUGCGUAGGCAGUUUCGUAAGUCGUGUGUGAAAAGCCCGGGCUCAACCCGCGGACGGCACAUGAUACUGCGAGACUAGAGUAGGAGAGGGGUAUCCGGAAUUCUCGGUGUAGCAGUGAAAUGCGUAGAUAUCGAGAGGAACACUCGUUGCGAAGGCGGGUUCCUGGACAUUAACUGACGCUGAGGCACGAAGGCCAGGGGAGCGAAAGGGAUUAGAUACCCCUGUAGUC
RNAcentral lists this ribosomal RNA (446 nucleotides) under uncultured bacterium. RNAcentral describes it as "partial 16S ribosomal RNA". It matches the Rfam family "Bacterial small subunit ribosomal RNA", at positions 338 to 795 of the family's 1533-position model. The record is from RNAcentral.